This 837-nucleotide ribosomal RNA is filed under the name uncultured Burkholderiales bacterium. RNAcentral describes it as "bacterial SSU rRNA". It matches the Rfam family "Bacterial small subunit ribosomal RNA", at positions 56 to 894 of the family's 1533-position model. The record is from RNAcentral. Lineage: Bacteria; Pseudomonadati; Pseudomonadota; Betaproteobacteria; Burkholderiales.
UGCAGUCGAACGGUAGAGGGGGCAACCCCUUGAGAGUGGCGAACGGGUGAGUAAUAUAUCGGAACGUGCCCAGUCGUGGGGGAUAACGUAGCGUAAGUUACGCUAAUACCGCAUACGAUCUAAGGAUGAAAGCGGGGGAUCGCAAGACCUCGCGCGACUGGAGCGGCCGAUAUCAGAUUAGGUAGUUGGUAGGGUAAAGGCCUACCAAGCCAACGAUCUGUAGCUGGUCUGAGAGGACGACCAGCCACACUGGAACUGAGACACGGUCCAGACUCCUACGGGAGGCAGCAGUGGGGAAUUUUGGACAAUGGGCGAAAGCCUGAUCCAGCCAUUCCGCGUGCAGGAUGAAGGCCCUCGGGUUGUAAACUGCUUUUGUACAGAACGAAAAGGUUUCUAUUAAUACUAGGAGCUCAUGACGGUACUGUAAGAAUAAGCACCGGCUAACUACGUGCCAGCAGCCGCGGUAAUACGUAGGGUGCAAGCGUUAAUCGGAAUUACUGGGCGUAAAGCGUGCGCAGGCGGUUAUAUAAGUCAGAUGUGAAAUCCCCGGGCUCAACCUGGGAACUGCAUUUGAGACUGUAUAGCUAGAGUACGGUAGAGGGGGAUGGAAUUCCGCGUGUAGCAGUGAAAUGCGUAGAUAUGCGGAGGAACACCGAUGGCGAAGGCAAUCCCCUGGACCUGUACUGACGCUCAUGCACGAAAGCGUGGGGAGCAAACAGGAUUAGAUACCCUGGUAGUCCACGCCCUAGACGAUGUCAACUGGUUGUUGGGUCUUUACUGACUCAGUAACGAAGCUAACGCGUGAAGUUGACCGCCUGGGGAGUACGGCCGCAAGGU